RNAcentral lists this ribosomal RNA (470 nucleotides) under uncultured bacterium. Its description in RNAcentral is "bacterial SSU rRNA". It matches the Rfam family "Bacterial small subunit ribosomal RNA", at positions 53 to 518 of the family's 1533-position model. The record is from RNAcentral.
ACAUGCAAGUCGAGCGAAGUGAUUGGAGUGAAGUCUCGGAUGGAACAAAGAAUCAUCUUAGCGGCGGACGGGUGAGUAACGCGUGAGAAACCUGCCGUUUCACAAAGGGAUAGACCUCGGGAAACUGGGAUUAAUACCUUAUGAUACUCCUAGAUCGCAUGAUCUGGAAGUUAAAGCGCAAAGCGGUGAAAGAUGGUCUCGCGUCCUAUUAGCUAGUUGGUGAGGUAACGGCUCACCCAAGGCUGCGAUAGGUAGCCGGCCUGAGAGGGUGAACGGCCACACUGGAACUGAGACACGGUCCAGACUCCUACGGGAGGCAGCAGUGGGGAAUAUUGCACAAUGGAGGAAACUCCUGAUGCAGCGACGCCGCGUGAAUGAUGAAGGCCUUCGGGUCGUAAAGUUCUGUCCUUGGGGAAGAUAAUGACGGUACCCAAGGAGGAAGCCCCGGCUAACUACGUGCCAGCCGCCGC